RNAcentral lists this ribosomal RNA (253 nucleotides) under uncultured bacterium. RNAcentral's name for it is "partial 16S ribosomal RNA". It matches the Rfam family "Bacterial small subunit ribosomal RNA", at positions 524 to 776 of the family's 1533-position model. The record is from RNAcentral.
UACGAAGGGAGCAAGCGUUGCUCGGAUUUAUUGGGCGUAAAGGGUGUGUAGGCGGUUUUGUAAGUUAGAUGUGAAAGCCCAGGGCUCAACCCUGGAAUUGCAUUUAAGACUGCAUUACUUGAAGUUCGAAGAGGUUAGCAGAAUUCCCAGUGUAGAGGUGAAAUUCGUAGAUAUUGGGAAGAAUACCAAUGGCGUAGGCAGCUAACUGGUUGAUACUUGACGCUGAGGCACGAAAGCGUGGGGAGCAAACAGG